This 484-nucleotide ribosomal RNA is filed under the name uncultured bacterium. RNAcentral's name for it is "partial 16S ribosomal RNA". It matches the Rfam family "Bacterial small subunit ribosomal RNA", at positions 30 to 507 of the family's 1533-position model. The record is from RNAcentral.
AUUGAACGCUGGCGGCAGGCCUAACACAUGCAAGUCGAGCGGAUGAAGGGAGCUUGCUCCUGGAUUCAGCGGCGGACGGGUGAGUAAUGCCUAGGAAUCUGCCUGGUAGUGGGGGAUAACGUCCGGAAACGGGCGCUAAUACCGCAUACGUCCUGAGGGAGAAAGUGGGGGAUCUUCGGACCUCACGCUAUCAGAUGAGCCUAGGUCGGAUUAGCUAGUUGGUGGGGUAAAGGCCUACCAAGGCGACGAUCCGUAACUGGUCUGAGAGGAUGAUCAGUCACACUGGAACUGAGACACGGUCCAGACUCCUACGGGAGGCAGCAGUGGGGAAUAUUGGACAAUGGGCGAAAGCCUGAUCCAGCCAUGCCGCGUGUGUGAAGAAGGUCUUCGGAUUGCAAAGCACUUUAAGUUGGGAGGAAGGGCAGUAAGUUAAUACCUUGCUGUUUUGACGUUACCAACAGAAUAAGCGCCGGCUAACUUCGUG